RNAcentral lists this ribosomal RNA (253 nucleotides) under uncultured bacterium. Its description in RNAcentral is "partial 16S ribosomal RNA". It matches the Rfam family "Bacterial small subunit ribosomal RNA", at positions 524 to 776 of the family's 1533-position model. The record is from RNAcentral.
UACAGAGGUGGCAAGCGUUGUUCGGAAUUACUGGGCGUAAAGGGCGCGUAGGCGGUCUUGUAAGUCUUGUGUGAAAUCCCUCGGCUUAACUGAGGAACUGCACGGGAUACUGCAUGACUUGAGAUCGGGAGAGGGAAGCGGAAUUCCGGGUGUAGCGGUGAAAUGCGUAGAUAUCCGGAGGAACACCGGUGGCGAAGGCGGCUUCCUGGACCGACACUGACGCUGAGGCGCGCAAGCUAGGGGAGCAAACGGG